Molecule: ribosomal RNA, 506 nt
Filed under: uncultured bacterium
Lineage: Bacteria
Description: partial 16S ribosomal RNA
Rfam family: Bacterial small subunit ribosomal RNA
Source: RNAcentral
AUUGAACGCUGGCGGCAGGCCUAACACAUGCAAGUCGAACGGUAACAGGAAACAGCUUGCUGUUUCGCUGACGAGUGGCGGACGGGUGAGUAAUGUCUGGGAAACUGCCUGAUGGAGGGGGAUAACUACUGGAAACGGUAGCUAAUACCGCAUAACGUCGCAAGACCAAAGAGGGGGACCUUCGGGCCUCUUGCCAUCGGAUGUGCCCAGAUGGGAUUAGCUAGUAGGUGGGGUAACGGCUCACCUAGGCCACGAUCCCUAGCUGGUCUGAGAGGAUGACCAGCCACACUGGAACUGAGACACGGUCCAGACUCCUACGGGAGGCAGCAGUGGGGAAUAUUGCACAAUGGGCGCAAGCCUGAUGCAGCCAUGCCGCGUGUAUGAAGAAGGCCUUCGGGUUGUGAAGUACUUUCAGCGGGGAGGAAGGGAGUAAAGUCAAUACCUUUGCUCAUUGACGUUACCCGCAGAAGAAGCACCGGCUAACUCCGUGCCAGCAGCCGCAGUAA